This 3141-nucleotide long non-coding RNA is filed under the name Aphidius gifuensis. Its description in RNAcentral is "uncharacterized LOC122857518". The record is from RNAcentral. Lineage: Eukaryota; Metazoa; Arthropoda; Insecta; Hymenoptera; Braconidae.
AGGCUUUUCGAUAGCAAUGGGUAACAAUGAUACACUCUAUAAAUUUAGAUAAUCCGAUAUAGCUUCUAUUUUUACAGCUGAAGCCUUGGCAAUAGGGGAAUGUCUCAAUUUAAUCGAGAGAAAAGAUCCAGGUAAUUUCAGUAUCUUUUCCGACUCUCUUAGUGUUUUAUUAGCAAUUUCCAGUAAAUUAAAAAUUAACUCAACAAAAUACAUAGUGUGGUAUCUAAAAAAUAAACUCUAUCAGUUAGAAAAUGCAGGCAAAAUAGUCAAUUUAUACUGGGUACCAGCACAUAGAGGUAUUACAGGUAACGGAAAAGCAGAUUCAAGGGCCAAAGAUGCGAUACGUAAUGGUGUUGAUUCUCAGCUAUUACUCAUAAUUGCAGGUCUAAAAAGUUAUUGGAAAAAUAAAAUGUACAAAUAGUUUAAUAACUUUUGCACUGAAACAGGUAGAGAAAAAGGAAAUUAUUAUUUCAGUCACUUGUAUGAUCCAGCCCCAUCACAGUGGUUUAAUGAGUGGCCUAUUAAUCAACGUGGGAUUUGUACAAUCAACAGACUUCGUUCUGGACAUAAUUCUUUAAAUAUAUCAUUAAAAAAAAUAAAUGUUAUUCCUUCGAGUCUAUGUGAAUGUGACAAAGAAGAUGAAACUCUAGAUCACGUUUUAUGGUCUUGUGAACUACAGAAGAAAGAGAGAGAAAAGCUGAUAAAGAUUUUAACGAAAAACGGCUUCGUGGUGUGCGUAAUAUUACAGUCGGUGGACAAAGAUGCAACAAACGUCGAUCGAUCCUAUAUAGAUGAACAAGAAGGUGUCCCCACGUAAUACUUUUCUCCUACUGCUGACAACUUAAUCUCUGUAAAUUUACGAGCUACUCCCAGAAAUGCAGCAUUCAAAUCAUCAACAACCAUUCCUUCACCAAGAUCAAAAUGAUGCAGAUUCAUCAAACUGCUAGCUCCCAUAACACCGAAAACACUGAAUCUACCGGAUAUAUCAACCAUGACCAUUGCUUUCAACCUCUUCCGGAACACCGUUUUUCUAAAAAAUGAACGAAGUAAGUUACCCGAACUCGAUACCUAUGAAUUUGAAGGAAAAAACUCAACAAACGCUGGAAUCAUCAGUCUGGGAACGUUCUGAACGAGAUAUUUUUCAACGAGGAUCCUCUAUCAUUAGAUGAUGAAGAAUUCCAAACAAUCCUUAGAAAUAUUAAAUUCAACCUCGACUGGCAAGUUCUUCGAUACUGAAAAAUAUGCUAAGUAUUGGAAACAAAAAUAUGACGAUCUUCUGAAGUCCAAGUCAUUUCCAAUGACAGAGAAAACUGGAUAAAAACUCAUUGAAAUACUUGAUCGAUUUGAUUUGCAAAAACCGUUCAAUGAUUUGGUACAGUCCAGCCAGAAAUCAACUGUUGAUGAAAUAUCAGUUUCAGAUAAGGCAAUGCCUCUAACUGCACCUAGUAAAGAUGGAGUUAAGCCAAAAAAAAUAUAGUUACUGAUAAUUUAGAAAAUAAUCAACCUCCAAAUACACCUGAGAUUAACGAAUUAUGCAACAAAACUUUUAACACUGCAGCUGACUGUGCAAAUCAAGUGCGAUCAAUUAGUCCAGUCAAAAAACUUCGAAGUUCGAUGGUUUUUUUAUCUUUUUUUUUUUUUAAAGACAAAUUUUAAUAUUAUUGAAAACUCAUGAUUUAAAAACUUUAUGAACAUUUACUUUUGUUGUUGUUUUUCAAAAAUUACUAAUCUUUAUUGUAAUCGUGUACACGUGUCACAAGAAUUUUUGUUUUUCAAAUUUUUCACUUGCAUUAUUCAACAAUUAGUAUAUUGUUUUAAUUUUUAAUUUAUAAAAAAUACAUUAAGAUAUAUAUGAAAACAUUAAUUUAGUAUACAUACAAGCUGUAUUCAGUCUUGUCAUUGAAAUCGGUCAACUAUUGAAGCUAGUAUCCAUUUGUUAAUAUUAAUUUAACAAUAAACAAUUGCUUUUGUUAUUAUUUUUCGGCCGCGGAUGCUUCGAAAAUGAAAAUAAAGAUAUAUAUUUAAAGAAGACAGAUAUAGUAGGAACCGAAUGAACGAGCGUGGCCGAGUGUAACCGAGUGUGAGCGCGACAACAAUAUAUUUCCCUCUCAACUUUCCCCUGAAACUUUUAGCUCCCCCACUACUUACAACGAUUACGCGAUUAAUUUAAACUUUGAACCCUGAUAUGAAAUCAACUCUUCUAUAAAAAAAAAAACUAAAAAAACCAAAAAAUUGCAAAUUUUUUUCUCUACAAAAAGUUACUAAACUUUAUCCCUGUAAAAUUAUUUUUUCUAUGUGUUUUUUAAAAAAUAAACUUUAUUUAUUUUUUUUCAACCCUUUCCCGGGGGUUGAUGCAAUUUUUUUUGACAUAUCUUUAAUCAGCUCGUCACAAGAAAUCUGCCCAUAUUUUUCAUUUCUUUUGUUGAGAAAUUCGACGAACUUCGAAGUUUUUUGACUGGACUAAAUGUGGACUCAAAAAGAAUUAAAGGAUCGAGUUGUACGUCAGACUCGGGGUAUUUCAAAGAAGGUUUCAACUCCAGAAAAAGUGGUGAAAGGAAAAGAAAUGUUUGCAACCUGGCUAAAAAAAGUUGGUUACAUGAAAGAUGCCCGGAACAUCCUAAAGAAAAAAAAGCAGUCCUGUCAUGGCGUCGCAUUCUGCGUGCGCAUCCAAAUUUGAACUUGGCGUCUCACUUUUUAAACUUAGCGCCUUAUUUUUAAAUUUACUGGAAUCUGAUUGGGGUAUUAGAAGGUCACGUGCAUGUCGUAUAAAUUGAUAUAGGUGGCGCUAAUUGCAUAUACAUAUGUAUGUGUGUGUUGACAUAUGUGAUUAUAACAACAUUUUAUAUCUGUCAAAAAAUAUUAAUGCCCAUAACCUUCAAACGAUUUACCAAUAUUUGAUUGAAUUGUUAUAAAUAAAAAAAUAGUUAAUGUGUUAUAAAUAAAAAAACAACGAAAAAUUAAAAAAAAAAACUACAUUCAAACACAAAAAAAAAAAGAUAGAUUCAUUUUUAAAUAGGGCACGCGAACCUGUAAGAAUGAAAUCAAGAUUUGUACAUUUUAAUUGACAAGAACAAAGUAUUGUUAAUUAAAAUUUUGGAGUAAACAGAUUUUUUUAUUUAAUCAUUAUUGAAGUACGAAACC